GGCAUUACCACCUGGAAAACUGAUAGAUGAGCGGCCUUUGGACAGAUUUAGCUUGCAGAGCCUCAACUGUAGUAUAAAUUCUCAGUUUUAGCAAAAACAUCUGCAAUAGCAUGGAGCUUAGAUGCUGAAGAGGCCUGUUCCUGCCCUUGACUUUGUGUGUGCGUGUACGCUGUAUGGGAACUGUUGAGUAACAGCCUGAACCACUGAUUGAGCACCUGAGGAAAGGACUGAGCCAGCCGUGGGAUCACAGGUGACAACGGAGUGAAGAAGGAUGUGAAAUCUUUGCCAUCAUCCUGCAGAGGAUGGAUGAGGGGACCCUGAGCACACAUAAAGUGCAGGUCUGGAGUAGCUGAUCCAAUUAGAGGUAGCUGAAGAUCCCUCUGGUCUGCAUGUAGCCAUGGAAGAUGAUUUCAACCACACCUGAAUUAUCCUACACUCAAUGAAAGAAUACACAGGUGUAACAGGAGACUCAGCAUGCAUGCCUCCAACCACUAAGAUCAAGCCUAUCAACUACAUUAUAGAAGAGUUUACUUUUGCUGAAUUGUUAUGUUCUGUUUUAGAGGUAUCUUUUCAUCACUGAAGAACACAUCAAAAGAUUUUAGGCUUUGACAUUCUUAUCCAGGAUAUGUUUCACAGUCUUUCAUCAGCCACUGAAGCUGGAUUAGCACCAGAAAAUUUUUAACACACACUGUAUGUGCAGAGAAGAGACCAAGGGACCUUUGGCUUACAAAGAAUCUAUAAAAUGUGAUUAUUAAUUUCAAGGUAUCACACAUUUAAAAUAGAGCUCUUCAGCAUUCUUUAUAACUAAAAUAAUGAACUGAUGAAGAGCUGAUGAAGAGCCUGCCUGAAGAUAAUGUCAGAACCCACAAAUAAAAUAACUCACAUAACAACUGAGAUGGACUCAUCAAAAAUUCAGAACAGAAAUGAAACUCUGAUUUUCAAUUUAAUCUCCAAACAGUACACUUGCUUCAAUUUACAGUGUUUUAGAGGAGUGGGUAAAAUUAGUCUUUAAAAUCUUCCAUUCCAUUACAGAAAUGGGAAAUAAAAUGUUUACUGGUUUGCAGUUCAGAAGUGAUGGAUGCACGCUAGGCCUCUUCUUAGUAUGUACUGGGCUGUUUUCAAGAAAUGCACAUAAUCUGGAAGCAAAGCUGACAAAACUAUGUUACUGAAAUUGCUUUGAUUCAAACACUGCAAAGGCUGUUUGUAUACUUGAAGAAGUCAGAUCUGGAUGGUGGAGUUUGAACUACUAAAUUUUCCAGUUCUCAUCAUCAGUAUUAGAUGGUGUAUUUAGUCCUAAAGCACGGUUAAAUAUUCCUGGAAAUCUCGGACGAUCCUGUGCUGCAGCUGAAGCCACAAAACAAAUCCAGCUCAUGAAAUGAGCUACUCUGCGUUUAAAAAUGGCAAUUUUUGAGAAGUGAAAUCCCUAAAUUCUUGAAAUAGUUUGUUGAAAUUCUCUGAAAUAUUUGUUUGAAAAUAACGCUGCUGCAUGUAGAAAAUGGUUGCAAAACUGCUCUAAUUUUGAAAUAGCAACACAUUCUAAUGUAUCCAUAUUGCACACAAUUACCUUUUAUGAGAAGGCUGUAAGAGCAUGACAAAAUUAAUAAUUUCAAUGUUUCAAGAAUUAAUUUAAAAUACAUUUUGCAAGGUUCUUUUAGCUAUUUGUAUAUAUUUUUUUUCAUUACAGCAUUACAUCAGAACAUUAAAGAUUCUACCAGAAAGGUGAAAAAGGAAAACAGUUGUGCAAAAUCAGAAUAUAAUGUGAGCUUAUGGUUGCUCUGUGAUUCACUGUAAUGCAUUAUUAAUCCAUAUGUUAGUAAAAUAAAAUAUUUUGAAAAUUGUGA
This is a long non-coding RNA of Centrocercus urophasianus (Greater sage-grouse), 1841 nucleotides long. RefSeq lists it as uncharacterized. Lineage: Eukaryota; Metazoa; Chordata; Aves; Galliformes; Phasianidae. The transcript has 4 exons. The record is from RefSeq and is a predicted model, not a curated record.